UAUCCAAUUUGCCAUUGUUUUACAAGUCGUGAUCUGUCUUGUAUGUUAUGAGAUAUAUUACAUUUCAAAUUGUAGAUACCACAAGCACUUCAGUUUCAUCAUUGGCCAGUAAUGUUUCCUGUGUAACAUGGUGGCACCAAUGUAGUAGGAGUUAUAAAAAAUGUUUGCAACGUUUUGAUUGUGGUACUUCAUAUCAUUUUAAACAAUAUUUUCCUUCACUAUUGAAGCCAGAACAUCAAGUAAACAAAAAUCUAUAUAAGUGGGCCUGCUUGGCUUCGUAUCUCAUUACCUGAAAGAACCAAAAUGGAAAUCCUUUAACACAAGACGGUGUUACCAGAAUUCUCACUGUAUAUGUUGCAUUUCACCCUCAGGAAGUACUAUGGUGGGUUACUGGUCUGAGAGAUGAUAUAAAAUUUGCUCUAGCACUUUUACAAGCAGAAAGCACUCCAUAGAUUUAAUAAGUCUCCACUACACACAAUGUGCAAUGGAACAAGUGGUUUGCGUAGCUGAAUGUAAUGUAACAUGCUGCCAUUCAACCCGAGUUAAACUUUAUCAUUUAUCUCUCUCUACUGACUAGGUAAUUACUGUACAAAAUUUCACAAACUGAAGAUAUAUUACAUUUUUUAAACAAUGUAACACAAUUGCAACUGGUUAAAACACUGAAGUUCAACACAGACUGGCACACACUUACUGAUGGAUAUUUCGCUGCCAGGCACACAGUGCUAGGUGCUAGGCUCUGCUGUGGCCUCAAGUGGCUAGGUAGUGUCAGGCAUCUAGUUCUACUGUAGCUGCCUGCAGCCACAUGGCAGACAGUGUGUUCAAGAAAUAAAAAUGUAUUUCUUAUUGAAGUUAUAAUAGAAAAUCUCAUUUAAAAAUGUGUCCAGAAAUAGAGCCAGGCCAUCCCCUUGCCGAAAAGUACAAUACAAACCUAUUCAUUGGUUGCUUCAGCAACACAAAGGAGUGUGCAGACAAUGGUGAUUUGCUGUGCUUCUCAUAAUACACCACGGGAUGCUACAUGGACACAAUCAUGUAGCCCAUUAUUUUAGCCAGGAUGUGCAAUUAUUCUGUGCAAACUUGUAUAGAUGUAAAAAAUAAUGAUGGCACUCUAGCAAAAUUAGGCCUGUACACAAAUGAAAAUCAAUGGUAUGCUGGUAAGAGCUGGCAGUUUAUGAAUCUCACAUAUUUCUGUACCAUACAUGCAUGGUUAAGAAACAUACCUGCUACACCUAGUACUAAAAGAGAAAUAAUGUUGUGGGGAGUUUUUAAUGUAUGUUACUUAACUGAAAGUGCUAAGAAAGGCCUUAGUUGUACAGUGUUUUUGCAGUUUAGAACCAGUUAGAGAGGUACAGUGAAAAAUCUGCAACCAUAAACUCUAGCUUAUGACAGUCUCCUGUAUAUAUAGUACUGACAGUUUAAUAUUAAACAUGCAUAGAUGAGUUCUCAUCACAAUUUCAAGGGGUAUUUCCACAGUCACCAAAAAAUUGCCAAUCUUCAUAAAUGAUGAAUUAAGGAAAACAAUCAUUAAUGCAAAAAAAGGAGCUUAAUAUUACUGUUUCAGUAUCUAAGAUGACAAAAUUAUUUGCUUCAAAUUGUAGCAACGGUUAGUACUUCAAAAGGAAACAGAUGCCUGAAAAAUAAUGAAAACUCCUUUGGAAACACAGCAGAGAAGCCCAGCCCCAUGAAAGUCUGCCCUCCCAUACCCUGGCAAUUACUGUCUUGAUCUGCAUCCCUUCCUCCGUGCCCUUCUGUAAAAGUGUAGCUAGGAGCUUUGUCCAUACGGGCUUUUGGUUCCCUCAUCUCCAUGAACAUGCAAAUAUGGUCAAAGGCUUAGGAUAAAGAGUAUUCUGUGCACACACUGUUUACUGUUACCCUUAAUCUCGGUACAGUGCUUGCCAGUGUGUCAUGAUAACAGUUAUCAAACAUAAUUUUAAUCACAAUAAAUAAAACAGAGAAUGAUUGACACCAGACUGAAUUGAACAUUUGAUAUUCUACUACAUUUGUAGAAGAGACCAAGCUCUGCGACUUUUGCUUUAAUGCCACGAAGUUGACUAUGGUUUUAUGCCAUCGAAGAAUGAAGGUCCUCAGUGUCCUAGCACAAAAUACUCCGUCACAAGUGUGGCUAAAACGACUGCAAAUAUCCUUUCUGAGACUGAGGGAACGGCAAUGAACAAUGUCUACUAAAUUCUGUGGGGGUGCACAGAAAAAACAAUACUAAAACAAUGUUGUCUCACUAUUAAAACAGUCUCCAAUAUCAGUAUCUGGAUGCAAACAAAUGAAAUACUUGUAUGGGCUUCCAAGCUAUUUUCCAAAGAAGCUAACUACUUUCCAUUCAGUAUUAGCAUAUCAGGAUACAUUCCAAAUAGAGAUGAGCAAUUUAUAAAUGAUACAGUACACAAAAAGAAAUUCAGUGAUGCACUUUUUUAAAACAAUACAAAUUGUUGCUGUUUACAAAAUCCACCCUGCCCCUCAGGGUAAAAAAAGGUUUAGAAGCUGCAUAUAUAUUAUGCCAACCAAAUCACAGUUACCUCAAUAUUUAGUUUGUGAAUUAUGUUUAAUCUCCUACUACCACUCAGGUAGCCAUAUGUUAUUUUAACUUUUUUUAACACAUUAUUGCACACUAUUGAUACAGUUCUGUAUGUAUGGAUCCAUGACUGAGUAUGACUGGAGACAGUACACUGCUCUUAAUGAAAACAGUAGAACAAUACAUACAUUUUCAGAAAAAUAGCAUUCACAUGAGAGUACCGAUAAUUGUUUCAUAAUUUAUUUAAUAAUCUAUUUGCAUUUCUUUUUAAUUAGUCCUUAUUUUUAAAUAGUCGUCUGAACAUCCACGUUCAAUUCUGAAAUUGCAGAUACGGCGUGGGAAUGAAUGUUCUAAAUGAUGUGCUGAGUCAUUUCAUAUAUUCAGCAGCAAAUAUAGAGAAAGAACUCUUUUGAGUCUGUGACAACCUUCGUUUUUUAAUCAGACUUUGGUGAAUAUGUUGCAACAAACCAAUUAAUGCGUUUUUCGAUUCUAUGUGCAAUUUUCUGGAGUACUCUGUUACAUCAUUAAUCAACUAGGGAAAGCACGUAAAAUUUGGCAAAUAUAACUGGAAGACAUAUCGUAUGCAUAUUUUGCCAAGGAAACGAACAGACACAGUAUAGUUUAUUAGUAUACAAGAGAAAACAUUCUUUUCUACACGUUAACUACAUAGUUUUAUUGCGUGGUUAACACACAGUCCUCCCUCUCGGAGACUCCAUUUCAGAAUGCACCCGAACGGCCGUGGCUGGCCUAAACUUUCAUAUCAACUCUAUUUGUACUCUGCGAUCGACGUAUCGACAUACUUCGCGAACGCUGGGCUACGUCAUUUUGACGUCACUUCCUUAGCUCGUUCGGGUGAAACGAAGCUCUCCCUUUCCGGUAGUUAUUGGUCGAACACGUGUGUUAAAUGUAUCAGUAAAACGGCUGUGCGGGGAACUUAAAAUUGGCUACUUGUGCCAUGCCGACAUCAAAUUUGGAGCAAGUGGAAGUUCUUUUCAUGAAAUACACUCCUGGAAAUGGAAAAAAGAACACAUUGACACUGGUGUCUGACCCACCAUACAAUCAGGACUGCAUACGACCGAGGCACACAGGGCCAACACCCGGCAUCAUGGUGUGGGGAGCGAUCUACACUGGCCGUACACCUCUGGUGAUCGUCGAGGGGACACUGAAUAGUGCACGGUACAUCCAAACCGUCAUCGAACCCAUCGUUCUACCAUUCCUAGACCGGCAAGGGAACUUGCUGUUCCAACAGGACAAUGCACAUUCGCUUGUAUCCCGUGCCACCCAACAUGCUCUAGAAGGUGUAAGUCAACUACCCUGGCCAGCAAGAUCUCCGGAUCUGUCCCCCAUUGAGCAUGUUUGGGACUGGAUGAAGCGUCGUCUCACGCGGUCUGCACGUCCAGCACGAACGCCUGGUCCAAUUGAGGUGCCAGGUGGAAAUGGCGUGGCAAGCCAUUCCACAGGACUACAUCCAGCAUCUCUACAAUCGUUUCCAUGGGAGAAUAGCAGCCUGCAUUGCUGUGAAAGGUGGAUAUACACUGUACUAGUGCCGACAUUGUGCGUGCUCUGUUGCCUAUGUGUUGUAUGUUGAGAAUAUAGCCUGCAUCGGGAAGGUCCAGGAUGAGCAGGUGAUGGCACGGAGGUGAUGGGAGAGGAGCAGGGAUAAAUUAAGCUGUUUAUGAGAAAGAUUGUCUACUAUUGCAAAAAGCUGACACUGUGAUGUUUUGCAUCUGAUAUACUGUAUCCGUGUGGAUUAAGGUGCAAUAUAAGAAAUGGAGCAUUAAUUAAAUAGAACUGCACCGUUCCGGUUUUUUGAUGCAGUUUGUUUUUGGUGUGGUUGAGGUCUCGGGAUGGCUUCGAGUAUCAUAUCAUAUGACUUGUGGUCAAAUUUCAAAUGAUACCAGCAUGUGGAAGAUGAAAACAUGCAGGAUGUCAUGACAUGUAAAAGUUGUAAUGAGCUGCAGAAUUAGUGGCAGUUUGCUGUUGCUAAAGGGUAUUGUUUUCUGGGAAUACAAUGGACAGACAGAAUAACAUAAAUGUUUGUAGCAGAGUAGGCAUAAUGAUGAUGUUUUCUGGGGGCAGCAUCACUUUUCAAGAUAAUUUGCCAUAUCACAAGGUCUGGAGUUUGAUGGAAUGUUUGUGGAACAGAGUGGUGAGUUCCAAUUGAUGUGCUGGUGCCCAGCGAGAUGUGAACCUGAUCGGACACAUGGGAUGUGACUGAACAUGGCGUUAGAGCUAGUCAUCUCCCUUCCUCGAAUUUACAGGAAUCUGGUGACAUGUAUGCAGAUGUUAAACUCCCUCCAGCAACCUUCCUCUGUCUGAUUGCUUCCAUGCCACGAUGUGUCACUGAUGUUAUCCGUGCCAAAGGUGGACAAACCAUAUUGUAAACUGUAAAGUAAAAUUCUUUGUUACACUGAAAAUGUAUCACAACAGAAACGCCAUCUAGAAAAUGGUAGAAAACUGGCAACAAGCAGCUCAUGCACUCAUGAUAGCCUCUAAAGACACAAAUGUCUACAAUGCCGAUGAAAGUGUAUUCAACAAGGAGAUGACUGUGGGCCGCACUCAAGCACUCAGAGGUUCUAAAGAGAUUGUAGGAGUUGUACAGUUUGUUCACAUGACAACUCAUGCGUACAUAAUUACUCCAUCACUUUCACAGAUGGGCAGACAUGCCCUAAGGCUUUUGUUGCACUUCGGGAGUCUUGUUCCUUGAGUUUUCGUACAUGUCAGUCCGUGUUCCCAACACCAAAUUUAAUUGUCCAUUCUCACUCCUCCAGCAAAAUGACCAAAGAAUUGUUGAGACAAGAAAUGGCAGGGGAAAAAAUCAGUGGAGAGAAACUUCUGCUUGUACUGGAUUCUUACAGGCCGCAAUAAGACACUAGUGUUCCUUAUGAUCUGCACAAACAAAAUAACCUAUCAGAAGACAAAAUCACAAUUCACAUAAUUUCAACUGACACAUCAAUUCUCACUGCCAUGGCUGGAUAAUGGCUUAACCUGUUGAUGAACCCAAAUGCUUUGAAACUUUGACAGAGUUCCAUUUCAGAUACAAGCUUUCAUUCAGAAAUGUACAGAGUAAAUGCACGAAUGUGAGAUUCAUCAAAUCUGCUUUAUGUAUGAAAGUAAUUUGCUUCACACACUUCCUCGUAUGCAACCAUUAUUGUAAGUCUUAGUUUCUGAAUGAAUGUCAUGGGAGGGGGGCGACUGUCGUGUCCCACCAACGAGUCCUGAGAGGGAUUAGGAAAGACUGCACAAAUGUGUCAUAAAACUCGCCAUCAAGGCACGGCAAAAACACUUCUGCUAGUGGGCCACCUGCACUUCACUUGGUUGGCUGAAAAGUGAGCUAUUGAGUGGGUUAAAGUACGGAACUUCGCAGGAAUCUCGAUGAUUCGAGGAGGAUAUCAUAAAUUGAGAGAUACUAUUACUGGAAGCACCCACUGGCAUAUUCCCUGUGUACAAGUCUAUCUACAAAGUGUAUUCAUUUGGUUAUAAGACUUCCUAUUCUUCCCUGAGCCUAACUCUUGUCGUGCAGAGGUGAGCAUGCUGGCCUGUGUUCACUACACCGAAUUCUUCUAAGUCCAGCCCCUGUAACACAGUGACACUUGCUAACUUCCUCCCAACGACUAUACAACGAUCUUUCCAGUAGGGUGGGGAGCCCCUUUAUAGGCAUCUUUGUGCACGGCCCCAUCCUUCUGGAAGCUGCUUGUACUUACACAGGCGGGGCCAAUCACGCGGGAGCGAGACACCCGUAUGGUAUUUCCAUAUUGACUGUCAAAAGAUCACCUUUCCUUGCUUACUCAGAGCCUUGUGAUGCUACAGUCUGCUCUUGUUGGCAGAAAAACUAGUAAACAGUGGCUGCGUCUGCUCAUGUAUGCGCCUUUGCUACUCUGGCUAAGAAUUUAUGUUCUACUUUACUACUGAAUUUAGCUUGUUUUCCUGCAAUUCAUGACAGUGCACACAUUCAGGUGGUGGAGAUGUGGGAAAUAUAUUGAAUCUUGUUAGUAGAUCCGUCAUUACUGCAUUUUCCGCUCUUGCACAGGAAAUCCAUUUUUGGAAGUCCCACGUCCAUUAAACAGAUGGUACACUGUCACAUUUUUGCAUUUUCCUUCCUGCUUAGCACAUUCAAAUUUGGCAUAUUGGUACUGUUUGACCCCUGCAAUUUUUGCGGCCAAGAGUUGAGGGUGGUGGAGGCAGGGCGUUCGCAGCUGUGUUGUGCAAAAAUAUGCAGGGACACAGUGCUGUUCAGUGUGGGCAAGUGUGCAAGUCUUAUAGAUCAUUUGCUAUGGUAGAAAAAUAAUGUGUGGAAGAAGUUUGUAUAGGUUGAUUGUAGCUCUAACGGCUUCUUCUAAUAGUAAAUACCAUGGUAAACAAAUGAAAAAUAAUGGGAGACGCAUGUUUGGAAGGAGAAAGUGGCAAAUGAAAAGAGUGCACGACAGCCCCCUAAAGUGGAUAAAGGAAACACAUACUCCCAACAUUUCAAUUGAUGGUACAUUGAUUCAUGCUAAAGCAGUGUAUUGGUGCAAAAGUGGAGACUUGCACAUUAAGGCAUCCAGUGGUUGGAUCAAAAGGUUCAAGAACAGACAUAAUUUAGUAUAUAAAUGUGUUAGAGGUGAAGUGUGGACACUGACAACUGAAAUGCACCUCUUUCUCCGGGGGACAAAUAUUAAUUAUCAUCAGUAGUAGUAGUAGUAGUAGUAGUAGUAGUAUGUUGCGCUACAAAUUAUCAUUUUACACCUGUGUGGCCUCCCUGGUGUGCCUAGUCGACCACAAGUCCCCGUCACUCUGUUCACUCUUAAGAGUACAUACAGGGUUGAAGACAUGGAGAAAGAAAAGUAUCAUCACAAUUUGAAUUUAGGGUAAUAUAACUUUCUUAAUUUCAUUGGUCAUUGUUGCACACCUGUGGUCCAGUGAUAAAUCUUACCAUCCACUGUUUGUUAAAUCCACUUGAGGUCCAGGGUGUGUUUUCUGCUACGUAAAAACUGACACAUAUUUAAACUUCCAACUUCUUAAAAUGCUGAUUGUGACAGUAUUCAAUAGUCUUCAAUGUAAAUGCUGAUUGUGACAGUAUUCAAUAGUCUUCAAUGUAACAGUUUUUCCAAUACAUCAUUUCAUUCCUAAUAUCAUUGACCUUCUCAAACCAAGUGUAUAACAAGACAUCUCAACACCAACUGCCCAUUGUCUCUACCCACACGAACAACUGGCUCCUGUUCACAGAGCUUACAAACUGUACAGUACUGCCAACCUUGGUUGUAUAUUGAUAUUUUACACAUCGCACAUAUACGUAUGUGAAAAGCAUAGUAUGAAAACUGAAAAGCGUUUAUAAUAUAGUUAUGUGGCAAGAUACCUCAUGAUUGUCCUCAUAUUAACAGUUUUGUAACCAUAUAAUAAUAGUUCAGUUUAUGUUUAUGUAGCUAAAGUUCACUUGCUCCGUCAAGUUGAUUGAUGGCACUGCACACCUCGCCAGCCAGUGGUAUCGGUAGUUUCGUGUAGCCCUUUACAUUACACACACCCCUAGAGAUUUCAUGUGAAAGAAUUUCGCAUGAGAUCUCGACAGACUGUCGCGUCCCGGCACAAGUCCCGGAUACCACUAUAGAGCUGGUGGAGCCUGUGUGGCGCAAUCGGGACCUUGACGAAAAUUAAAGGUUUGUGGUUCCCUUUAACUAGCAUUUAUUACGGAGGUGAGAGGGAGUAGAAUCUCCCUGGACUGUCUAAGGGUGUGUAGGAGGUGUAGAUACAUUAGACAGUACUUUCAAUAGGUGGCAGGUUCAAAGGAGGAAUUGGCAGCACUGAACUGUCAAAACAGUAAGGUGAGAUGUCUCCUUAAUGCAAUUUAUUGAACUAAUAUCACAAAGGACAUGUGAGGUGUCAGACCCUUCCCCUUACUCUGUACACUUCUAUAGAUUAAGCCAGAAUCUCCACUUCUCACUCUGUCAACGAUGACUACUCACGAGAACUACCACCUUUGAAUUCACUCUUCGUUUCAAUAAUGGACCUUUAUCCUAUCUUACAGGAGACAAACACCAGCCAGUGGCUUGUUCCUUCUAUUGCUGAAACUAACUGUAGAGGCUACUUGAGACAGAGACAAACUGUCCCUGUUCAAAGCUAAUCCAGUGCAAAACUUCUACUUAACUGACGGUUGUAGUUGCUUCCACCAGAGCAUCACUGUCUUCUCGUAGUUGCAGUUCCUAUAUACUCAUUAUACCCCAGCCGGCGAAACAUUGCACUUGACAGUUCGCUUUUGGUCUAGUUAGGUUGGCUAUACUGUAAUAGCGAUGUUGCAACAGCAGCCUCUAUACACACAGCA
Molecule: long non-coding RNA, 8816 nt
Organism: Schistocerca gregaria
Lineage: Eukaryota; Metazoa; Arthropoda; Insecta; Orthoptera; Acrididae
Exons: 5
Source: RefSeq, a predicted model, not a curated record